RNAcentral lists this long non-coding RNA (427 nucleotides) under Salmo trutta (river trout). RNAcentral describes it as "lncRNA (ENSSTUG00000026577.1)". The record is from RNAcentral. Lineage: Eukaryota; Metazoa; Chordata; Actinopteri; Salmoniformes; Salmonidae.
AGCAGAGCCGUGGUGACUCUCUGAACAGCACACACACACACACACACACACACACACACACACACACACACACACACACACACACACACACACAGUGGAGAGAACGGUCACACACAUAAACACAAGGAGCACACGAGACUACAGAAAAGCCUGCAUACAGAAAGCUAAGCCUCCCGUGUCUCUCUCCCUCCUCUCUCUCCCUCUCUUGCUCUCUCCUUCUCUCUGUCGGCCGUGGCAGUUACAGCUCAAUCAGGUAGAGCCAGACUCACAGGAGCACCUUCCCUUUGUCUCCCACCGUCCUCCUUCUCAAGAUUCUGUGUGUAUGUCAUGGUUACACCUGGCCAUCAGAACAUGAAAUGAUCAGCUACCUGCUGUUCUUCAGUAGAGGUCGUGUGAGAGCAUCAGUCUGCGUCGAAGGUGAGAGGGG